Molecule: non-coding RNA, 201 nt
Filed under: Enterococcus sp.
Lineage: Bacteria; Bacillati; Bacillota; Bacilli; Lactobacillales; Enterococcaceae
Description: T-box sequence
Rfam family: T-box leader
About the family: Uncharged tRNA acts as the effector for transcription antitermination of genes in the T-box leader family. T-boxes are found upstream of many aminoacyl-tRNA synthetase genes and some amino acid biosynthetic genes usually in Gram-positive bacteria.
Source: RNAcentral
CAAAAUAUAUUGAGAAGAAGAAGUAAAAAAGCGCGUGUCUUUAGAGAGACUGUGGAUGGUGAGAACAGUUGUCAGCUCUUUUUGAAAUGCAUCUUUGAAUAGUUUCAGCGACAAGUAGCUGAAAACGGCCAACAACCGUUAUCUGUUUUGAGGCAGGGAGACCUGCGAAAAAAAGUGGAACCACGCAAAAGCGUCUUUUAA